RNAcentral lists this ribosomal RNA (468 nucleotides) under uncultured microorganism. RNAcentral describes it as "bacterial SSU rRNA". It matches the Rfam family "Bacterial small subunit ribosomal RNA", at positions 9 to 524 of the family's 1533-position model. The record is from RNAcentral.
GAGUUUGAUCCUGGCUCAGAGCGAACGCUGGCGGCAGGCCUAACACAUGCAAGUCGAACGGACCCUUCGGGGUUAGUGGCGGACGGGUGAGUAACACGUGGGAACGUGCCUUUAGGUUCGGAAUAGCUCCCGGAAACGGGUGGUAAUGCCGAAUGUGCCCUUCGGGGAAAGAUUUAUCGCCUUUAGAGCGGCCCGCGUCUGAUUAGCUAGUUGGUGAGGUAACGGCUCACCAAGGCGACGAUCAGUAGCUGGUCUGAGAGGAUGACCAGCCACACUGGGACUGAGACACGGCCCAGACUCCUACGGGAGGCAGCAGUGGGGAAUCUUGCGCAAUGGGCGAAAGCCUGACGCAGCCAUGCCGCGUGAAUGAUGAAGGUCUUAGGAUUGUAAAAUUCUUUCACCGGGGACGAUAAUGACGGUACCCGGAGAAGAAGCCCCGGCUAACUUCGUGCCAGCCGCCGCGGUAAC